AUCUAUGUAGCUUAAGUGGAAAGCAUAGCUUUGAAGCAGCUAGGAUAAUAAUUUGUUUGUAGAUA
RNAcentral lists this transfer RNA (65 nucleotides) under Damon diadema. Its description in RNAcentral is "tRNA-Phe". Lineage: Eukaryota; Metazoa; Arthropoda; Arachnida; Amblypygi; Phrynichidae. The record is from RNAcentral.